This 72-nucleotide transfer RNA is filed under the name Balbiania investiens. RNAcentral's name for it is "tRNA-Thr". It matches the Rfam family "tRNA". Rfam says of the family: Transfer RNA (tRNA) molecules are approximately 80 nucleotides in length. Their secondary structure includes four short double-helical elements and three loops (D, anti-codon, and T loops). Lineage: Eukaryota; Rhodophyta; Florideophyceae; Balbianiales; Balbianiaceae. The record is from RNAcentral.
GCCCCUGUAGCUUAGUGGUAAAGUAUCUCCUUGGUAAGGAGAAGAUCACGAGUUCGAUUCUCGUCAAGGGCU